ACAAACUUGGUCAUUUAGAGGAAGUAAAAGUCGUAACAAGGUUUCCGUAGGUGAACCUGCGGAAGGAUCAUUAUUGAAUAAACCUGAUGAGUUGUAGCUGGCUUCUAGAAGCAUGUGCACACUUGUCAUCUUUAUCUAUCAUCCACCUGUGCACCUUUUGUAGUCUUGUGAAAUGUGAGCGGCAAAAUCUCGAGUUGACGCUUCGGAUGUGGGGAAUGUCGCGCAAAAAUGCAUGGCUCUCUCCAAUAUGCCUGUGACCAUUUCUUGGACUAUGUCUUUUCAUAUACCAUGUAGUAUGUUGCAGAAUGUAUCAAUUGGGACUUUGUGCCUAUAAAACUCAGUACAACUUUCAGCAACGGAUCUCUUGGCUCUCGCAUCGAUGAAGAACGCAGC
Molecule: unclassified non-coding RNA, 393 nt
Filed under: uncultured fungus
Lineage: Eukaryota; Fungi
Description: partial contains small subunit ribosomal RNA, internal transcribed spacer 1, and 5.8S ribosomal RNA
Rfam family: Eukaryotic small subunit ribosomal RNA (bases 1-73)
Source: RNAcentral